AGUGAACGCUGGCGGCAUGCCUAACACAUGCAAGUCGAACGGCAGCACCGUAAGUUCCUGCUGUUACCGAGUGGCGAACGCGUGAGUAAUACAUGUGUACCUGUCCCUUCUUUUUGGUUAGCCCUAAGGAAGCGGGAGUUACGCCACUACCGCACCACACAUAAGAGUGAGGGCCGUGGAUCUUUCGCCCUUUCGGGAUUGCAUGUGCCGAUGUAGGAUUUGCUAGUGGGCGGGGUAAAGGCCCACCAAGGCGACGAUCCGUAGCUGGUCUGAGAGGAGGAUCAGCCACACGGGAACUGAGACACGGACCAGAGUCCUACGGGAGGCAGCAGUGGGGAAUUUUGGACAAUGGGCGCAAGCCUGAUCCAGCCAUCCCGCGUGUGUGAAGAAGGCCUUCGGGUUGUAAAGCCCUUUUGUGGGGAAAGAAAAGCUUCAGCUUAAUACGGUGCGGGGAUGACGGUACCGGAAGAAUAAGCACCGGCUAACUACGUG
This 492-nucleotide ribosomal RNA is filed under the name uncultured bacterium. RNAcentral describes it as "partial 16S ribosomal RNA". It matches the Rfam family "Bacterial small subunit ribosomal RNA", at positions 29 to 507 of the family's 1533-position model. The record is from RNAcentral.